RNAcentral lists this ribosomal RNA (253 nucleotides) under uncultured bacterium. RNAcentral's name for it is "partial 16S ribosomal RNA". It matches the Rfam family "Bacterial small subunit ribosomal RNA", at positions 524 to 776 of the family's 1533-position model. The record is from RNAcentral.
UACGAAGGGGGCUAGCGUUGCUCGGAAUCACUGGGCGUAAAGGGCGCGUAGGCGGACAUUUAAGUCAGGGGUGAAAGCCCGGGGCUCAACCCUGGAAUGGCCUUUGAUACUGGGUGUCUCGAGUCUGGUAGAGGUUGGUGGAACUGCGAGUGUAGAGGUGAAAUUCGUAGAUAUUCGCAAGAACACCGGUGGCGAAGGCGGCUCACUGGCCCGGUACUGACGCUGAGGCACGAAAGCGUGGGGAGCAAACAGG